AGAGUUUGAUCCUGGCUCAGGAUGAACGCUGGCGGCGUGCCUAAUACAUGCAAGUCGAACGAGGUACUUGAGUAGCAAUACGAGAGUAUCCUAGUGGCGAACGGGUGAGUAACGCGUUGGUGACCUACCCCAAAGUGUGGGAUAACAGUCCGAAAGGACUGCUAAUACCGCAUGUGGUUAUCGGAUUUAGAAACUGAUAACUAAAGGAGCAAUUCGCUUUGGGAGGGACCUGCGUCCCAUCAGCUAGUUGGUGAGGUAAUGGCUCACCAAGGCUACGACGGGUAGGGGACCUGAGAGGGUGACCCCCCACAAUGGAACUGAAACACGGUCCAUACACCUACGGGUGGCAGCAGUAGGGAAUAUUGCACAAUGGGCGAAAGCCUGAUGCAGCAACGCCGCGUGUGCGAUGAAGGCCUUCGGGUCGUAAAGCACUUUUCUGAGGGAUGAGCAAGGACAGUACCUCAGGAAUAAGUCUCGGCUAACUACGUGCCAGCAGCCGCGGUAAAACGUAGGAGGCAAGCGUUAUCCGGAUUCACUGGGCGUAAAGCGCGUGCAGGCGGUUCGGUAAGUUGGGCGUGAAAUCUCCUGGCUUAACUGGGAGAGGUCGUUCAAUACUACCGGACUUGAGAGUGAUAGAGGAAGAUGGAAUUCCCGGUGUAGUGGUGAAAUGCGUAGAUAUCGGGAGGAACACCAGUGGCGAAAGCGAUCUUCUGGAUCAUUUCUGACGCUCAGACGCGAAAGCUAGGGUAGUAAACGGGAUUAGAGACCCCGGUAAUCCUAGCCGUAAACGAUGUAAACUUGGCGUCGGUGGCUUUAACUCCAUCGGUGCCGCAGCUAACGCGAUAAGUUUACCGCCUGGGGACUACGAUCGCAAGAUUAAAACUCAAAGGAAUUGACGG
Molecule: ribosomal RNA, 899 nt
Filed under: uncultured bacterium
Lineage: Bacteria
Description: bacterial SSU rRNA
Rfam family: Bacterial small subunit ribosomal RNA
Source: RNAcentral